RNAcentral lists this ribosomal RNA (495 nucleotides) under uncultured bacterium. Its description in RNAcentral is "partial 16S ribosomal RNA". It matches the Rfam family "Bacterial small subunit ribosomal RNA", at positions 29 to 507 of the family's 1533-position model. The record is from RNAcentral.
AUGAACGCUGGCGGCGUGCCUAAUACAUGCAAGUCGAGCGAACAGACGAGGAGCUUGCUCCUCUGACGUUAGCGGCGGACGGGUGAGUAACACGUGGAUAACCUACCUAUAAGACUGGGAUAACUUCGGGAAACCGGAGCUAAUACCGGAUAAUAUAUUGAACCGCAUGGUUCAAUAGUGAAAGACGGUUUUGCUGUCACUUAUAGAUGGAUCCGCGCCGCAUUAGCUAGUUGGUAAGGUAACGGCUUACCAAGGCAACGAUGCGUAGCCGACCUGAGAGGGUAUCGGCCACACUGGAACUGAGACACGGUCCAGACUCCUACGGGAGGCAGCAGUAGGGAAUCUUCCGCAAUGGGCGAAAGCCUGACGGAGCAACGCCGCGUGAGUGAUGAAGGUCUUCGGAUCGUAAAACUCUGUUAUUAGGGAAGAACAAAUGUGUAAGUAACUAUGCACGUCUUGACGGUACCUAAUCAGAAAGCCACGGCUAACUACGUG